GACAGAGGGUGCAAACGUUGUUCGGAAUUACUGGGCGUAAAGAGCGCGCAGGCGGUCGUUCAAGUCGCGUGUGAAAGCCCCCGGCUCAACUGGGGAGGGUCACGCGAUACUGAUCGACUCGAAGGCAGGAGAGGGAAGUGGAAUUCCCGGUGUAGUGGUGAAAUGCGUAGAUAUCGGGAGGAACACCAGUGGCGAAGGCGACUUCCUGGCCUGUUCUUGACGCUGAGGCGCGAAAGCUAGGGGAGCAAACGGG
This 253-nucleotide ribosomal RNA is filed under the name uncultured bacterium. RNAcentral describes it as "partial 16S ribosomal RNA". It matches the Rfam family "Bacterial small subunit ribosomal RNA", at positions 524 to 776 of the family's 1533-position model. The record is from RNAcentral.